GCAGCGGAGCGGGGCCGUGCUCGCGGGGCCGUGCUCGCGGGGCCGUGCUCGCGGGGCCGUGCUCGCGGGGCCGUGCUCGCAUCUCCGCAUGGCCCUGCUCUCCGGGCUCUCCUAUGUGCAGGGUGUCACAGGUGGGCAGAGCACCUCCCAUCUGCAGCAUCAUUACUGCGCGAGUGAAGGGUUAGAAGGAGCUUUGGUUGUCUUCUGCAAGUUCUCCAUGCUAUAUUUUAAUAUCAUAGCGUAAUUAGGUAUGUGGAAGUCCCUCAGUUGAAAAAUGCGGAUAUGCUUGGAUGUUUGAAUGUUAGGGUAUUUGUGUUUUCAUAUUCUUUCUGUUUUAGGCCACGUCUAGAUUCCUUGUGAAUUGCCAAGAACCUGUCACUCCCAGCUCUGGGAUUCCCUGUUGGAGGUGAUGGCUGUACCCUGCUGCUCUGAUGUCUGCUUCCAUGCAGAACUUGUGACCUUCAUGUUUUGGGAUGCUUGCAGUAUGUUCAGUCCGACAUGGGAUGGCACCAAGCCCUCCCAUAUGUGCUGUGAAAAUGAUGAGAAUGACUUCAGAGGCUGUGUGUGCUGGCUGAUGAGAGAAGCUAAAAAGAGGAACCUCGAAAUUAAACUGAUGGAUAUGGGAUGAAAGGGCAUUUCAUAGGAAAUUGAUCAAG
Molecule: long non-coding RNA, 656 nt
Filed under: Numida meleagris (helmeted guineafowl)
Lineage: Eukaryota; Metazoa; Chordata; Aves; Galliformes; Numididae
Description: lncRNA (ENSNMEG00000014089.1)
Source: RNAcentral